RNAcentral lists this RNase P RNA (519 nucleotides) under Corynebacterium urogenitale. RNAcentral describes it as "Bacterial RNase P class A". It matches the Rfam family "Bacterial RNase P class A". From Rfam's summary of the family: Ribonuclease P (RNase P) is a ubiquitous endoribonuclease, found in archaea, bacteria and eukarya as well as chloroplasts and mitochondria. Its best characterised activity is the generation of mature 5'-ends of tRNAs by cleaving the 5'-leader elements of precursor-tRNAs. The record is from Rfam by way of RNAcentral. Lineage: Bacteria; Bacillati; Actinomycetota; Actinomycetes; Mycobacteriales; Corynebacteriaceae.
UGAGAAGACCGGGUGGUCGCGGCGCGCGGAACCGGUCCCGUCUGUGGGGCCAGGCCGGGUGCGGAGGAAAGUCCGGACUCCACAGAGCGCGGUGGUUGCUAACGGCAACCCAGGGUGAUCUGCGGGAUAGUGCCACAGAAAAUAACCGCCUACGGCCUUCGGGCCACGUGGGUAAGGGUGAAACGGUGCGGUAAGAGCGCACCAGCAUGCCAGGUGACUGGCGUGGCUAGGUAAACCCCACCGGGAGCAAGGUCAAGUGAUGGCACGGCUCUGCGCUGGCUAAGGGCUCGCUUCGGCGAGGCUAUGUCGGUGUGGUGUGCCGUGCUGUCGAGUUCUAGAGCUGCUCGCUUGCUAGUGAACAGGUAGACCGCUUGAGGCGCCCAGUGAUGGUGCGUCCAGAUGGAUGGCCACCUCGCAGCCAGUGUGCGGACCGCUGUCAGUGUGGGCUUCGGCCCCGUUUGGUGGUGGUUAGUGUGCCUGGCUGUAGGACAAAAUCCGGCUCACAGGUUUUCUCGGCUU